GGGGCGUAAGGCUUCACGAGGGAGCGGCAGGAUUUAUAUUCCACUCAGCUCUCAGCCAUUUACUUUCAUUUCUAAAACGUUUAGGGCCCCAGCGAUGCCAGAUCAAGGUGGCAUUCUGCUGGAGAAUGGGACCCUAGCCAAUAAAAUAUAGAUCUAACAUUCAAUAACCACCUAAGAUGUUGCCUUUUUCUGAUGCCAAGAAAUCCAUCCAAACUCUAAAAAGAAGAAACAGCAUUGAGAGAAAAAUCAACCUACAGCAGCAUGUCCUGUCAAGUCUGACGGAGACUUCAAGCCAGUUGAAUAGUGAUGUAACAUCAACACUGUUUCAGAAGACACCAAACUCCAACAUGGACUGUCUGGAAAAGGCAACCUGUGGUAUACUGAUGGAGAACAAGGGUCCCAUUACAAUAUCAUCAAAUUAGUUUCUUUUAUUUCUUAUACAACUGGAUAAAGAAGAACUGAUCGUAAUUUUGAAAUCAGAUCACUUUUCUUAAGGUGAUUUAAGAAUGGCAAGAAUGCCAAGAACCCUAAGAAGUUGUUUUUAUGAUGAGAAGGUCAAGGGGUAGGGCCGUCUUAACAAAGCUGUGCACUGUGGCCCCUACCUACACAACCACUCAGCAAGUCACAACAUACAUAGAUUAGCAAGGGGCCCAUAUGCUCGUGGGGCUCCCGGGCAACUGCACAGAGUGCCCAUUCGUUAAGACGGCCCUGCUAAAGGGCCAUGUCAGCCCCUGCCUAAUGAGACAUUUCCUUUUAGUGGACGAUUAGUGCUGGUGGCUGGUAGUCCCAACUGUCAACGCUGACCUUAAUUACGAAUCCAUGGGCUUCUUUAUCCAGUUAUAAUACAUUUCUCUUAACAUGAACAUCUAAGUAAAUCAGGUUUUAAUGAAGCCAAAAAAAUAUAAAAAUAUAAACAAAACCCAAACUGUUAGGUUAAAGUUGCCAAAAAAAAAAUAAAAAAUAAAAUCCAAACCCAAACUGUUAGGUUAAGGUUGCCAAAAAAAUACAUAAAAAUAAAAAACACACAAAAAAAUAGAAAACUAGAAACAAAAUGCCAA
Long non-coding RNA from Erpetoichthys calabaricus (reedfish), 1058 nucleotides. RefSeq lists it as uncharacterized. The transcript is spliced from 4 exons. The record is from RefSeq and is a predicted model, not a curated record. NCBI's taxonomy places the organism in Eukaryota, Metazoa, Chordata, Cladistia, Polypteriformes, Polypteridae.